This 707-nucleotide ribosomal RNA is filed under the name Microbispora sp. VE37. RNAcentral describes it as "bacterial SSU rRNA". It matches the Rfam family "Bacterial small subunit ribosomal RNA", at positions 36 to 760 of the family's 1533-position model. Lineage: Bacteria; Bacillati; Actinomycetota; Actinomycetes; Streptosporangiales; Streptosporangiaceae. The record is from RNAcentral.
CUGGCGGCGUGCUUACACAUGCAGUCGAGCGGUAAAGGCCCUUCGGGGUACUCGAGGCGGCGAACGGGUGAGCUAACACGUGUAGUAACCUGCCCCUGACUCUGGGUAUAAGCCUGGGCAAACUGGGUCUAAUACCGGAUACGACCAUUUCUCGCAUGGGAUGGUGGUGGAAAGUUUUUUCGGUUGGGGAUGGGCUCGCGGCCUAUCAGCUUGUUGGUGGGGUGAUGGCCUACCAAGGCGACGACGGGUAGCCGGCCUGAGAGGGCGACCGGCCACACUGGGACUGAGACACGGCCCAGACUCCUACGGGAGGCAGCAGUGGGGAAUAUUGCGCAAUGGGCGAAAGCCUGACGCAGCGACGCCGCGUGGGGGAUGACGGCCUUCGGGUUGUAAACCUCUUUCAGCAGGGACGAAGUUGACGUGUACCUGUAGAAGAAGCGCCGGCUAACUACGUGCCAGCAGCCGCGGUAAUACGUAGGGCGCGAGCGUUGUCCGGAAUUAUUGGGCGUAAAGAGCUCGUAGGUGGCUUGUUGCGUCUGCCGUGAAAGCCCGUGGCUUAACUACGGGUCUGCGGUGGAUACGGGCAGGCUAGAGGCUGGUAGGGCAAGCGGAAUUCCUGGUGUAGCGGUGAAAUGCGCAGAUAUCAGGAGGAACACCGGUGGCGAAGGCGGCUUGCUGGGCCAGUUCUGACGCUGAGGAGCGAAACG